CAGCCCUGCUCGUAGCUCCACCGCUCUGCUCCAGCCCCUGCCCAGAGCCUCAUAAAUAGACUGUGGCAUGGACGGGGGAAGGAGAUAGCGAGAGGGGGUGUCAGCAUCUG
Molecule: microRNA precursor, 110 nt
Organism: Gallus gallus (chicken)
Lineage: Eukaryota; Metazoa; Chordata; Aves; Galliformes; Phasianidae
Source: Ensembl